CCUGCAGGCUGUGGGUAUGUGCUGCCCCCUUACUCCUGGCGCGGCGACUGCGUCAAAUGCAACACACAGUGGCAAGUGCUCUGAAAUCCUGAUGCUGACUGCUGACUCCCCUUCGUCCCGUAGUGUGAGUGUUAAUGGUCUGCUUCUGAGCCUGCCCCUCUGUCUUCCUGGCUUCCUGUUUUGAUCGUUUACGUGUCGUCCUUGCUACAGGCUACUCAGGU
Eriocheir sinensis (Chinese mitten crab) is the source of this 221-nucleotide long non-coding RNA. RefSeq lists it as uncharacterized. The record is from RefSeq and is a predicted model, not a curated record. The transcript has 3 exons. NCBI's taxonomy places the organism in Eukaryota, Metazoa, Arthropoda, Malacostraca, Decapoda, Varunidae.